This 2753-nucleotide long non-coding RNA is filed under the name Homarus americanus (American lobster). RNAcentral's name for it is "uncharacterized LOC121863730". Lineage: Eukaryota; Metazoa; Arthropoda; Malacostraca; Decapoda; Nephropidae. The record is from RNAcentral.
UACUGUAUACUGUACUAAAAAAAAUGCCAUGUAUUACUGUAUAUUUAUUGUAUGUAAUUUGAAUUGUAAAAGUUUUUAAUUUGUAUAUUUGUAUUGUUGGGUUACUAUGGGUCAUAAUGUACAGUUGCCUCUGCAUGAAAAUACCACAGCCUGGGAGUGAGUGAGGACUUGGAUACGAGAUGUGGCAAAACAGCACCAGUCAGGGCUAAUUGAAUGGGCGUAAAACAGUGAAAUUACGUCUGUUUGUGAUAAGAUAUAAAUGAUGAAGGGGUUAAACAGAUAAGUGAACCCUGUGAUAUGUGUUAUGCAGUUUCGAUACAACGUAGUUACUGGGACUGAACUACAGGGAACUGGCAAACAGGGUAAUACACGGUUUCACGCUCAUGCCUAUGACGCUGCAUUGCCACAUCUCGUUAAUGUGUCCUCACACACACACCUAGGUCAUGGUACGUUCAUGUGGAAGCAACUGUACAUGCAUAUUAUUGUUACAAUAUGAAUUUUUCUUUUUCUUUUUUUGUUAUUCAGAAUAUAAAAUAUUUUUAGUACUGUAUUAGCUUUGAGUUUGUUUUUUAAAUACUGUAUUGGUAAAAAGUAACCAACUAAAAAUUUUCAUUACAGGAAGUGCCAUAUUUUAUGGGAUAUAAGACACUUUUUUGUCUGAAAAAUUACUAAACAAAGUCAGCCUGUGUCCUAAAUGUGAAGUUUGCUGUCUCCCACAGGCUAAUGAAUUCUCCAGUUGCUGUCUCCAGUAAGCCAAAUUUUACAUAGCGUAACUCCAGAAUUAAAAGUACUAUAUGUUAUUACUUAAACAUAUUGUACAGUGUGUUUACUUUUAAUUUAUUAAAAACAAUUAUUGUAAAUAUAAAUGCUGGAUUUAUAACUGUUGUACAGGCUGAUGAUAACCCGAGACAAUUAGUGUCCAUACAUGUCAUUUCUCACUCUUGAAUUUUUUUUUACUUGUCUUUAUUAUUAUUAUUUUUUAUUUUUUAUUAUUUUUAUAAUUAUUUAUUUGUAUUGAUUCUAUUAUCAUCAUCAUCAUCAUCAUCAUUUUGAUUAGUAUUAUUUUAUUAAAUUUUUGCCCCUCAGGCCUUGAUGGGGGUCAUUAUAAAAUAACCUAUGCCCAGGUGGGCUAAUGCCCAUAAAAAUACAACAUGGCAGGCACCCAGCUCUUCAGAGCGAAGCAGUAACCAUAUCUGAAUUCUUACAAGCACUAUAUCUAUUAAUGUCAAACCUGUAACAUUUAUCUUUACAGAUAACUUUCUUUUUACAUUUGUGUCUGUUAACAUUGCUGGCAGCAUUGUAGCCAAGUUAGAGUUGUCACUGUAUCCACCAGGCCAUCCUACACAAAUUGUGCAAGAAAUAGUUAUCAUUAAGUCAAACACAUAAGGGCAAUAAUAAUUUUUGGGCACUCGAGUUAGCUGGUUCAGUGGGGGAGCGGGAGGAAAGCACGGAGUGUAGGGAAGAUGCGUUGCUAGGGAGUCGGCAGAGGUUGUGUCCCCACUGGUCUGUGUUGCUGUGGCGAAUCAGGUAGUGUAUGCAAAUGGCAAUUGUGUUAAACUUUCAUUUGGCUUUUAUUUAGUGGUUUUAACUGCAUUUUUUUUUCAUUUAAAUCAUAUACAAAUGUUGCUUGAAGUAGCACGAGUGUUAAAUAUCAUAAGCUAGGAAAGUUAUAUGGUUUAUGAAUACUGGGAGAGGAGGUGCAGGAAGUUGUAAGUUUGCUUCAGCCUUUUGACUUACAUCUAUAAGCAUAGUCCUUACAUUUUUUUUAAAGUUUUACUUGUUUUUCAGUAUUUCAUAUUAGUUUUGUAUUUGUAAUACCUGUAGUAACACAAGACUCGUCACUAUAGCCACAUCCCCCUACCUCUCCAGGCCAAGCUCUUAGCUAUGUUAUGGUGUCUUUCCAGUCCUAAUUUUAGGUAGAUGCACUACUCAUAUUUUUAUUUAUUUUUUAUCAUAAAGUCGAAACAUAAAAUAAACUUUUUAUGUGUGUUAAGAGGAGGAGGAGGGGGGGGAGGGGGGAGUCAGAAAUCUCAGCUGUCUUCCACGUGAAACUAUUGACAAAUUUUGUUGUCCAGUAGCCAAAUAACAAUAGUCUUGUAUUUUUUGUUUUAACAUAUUUAUUGGUACAGUAUUUAUUUAUUCCACACAGUAUUAUUUUAAGAAAACUAUGGCUACAAGAGGAAAAUAUACACAAGUUUCUUUCCUAAUACAGUAUUCCCAACUGAAAGGGGGGUUGGGUGCACCUCAUAUGCCAUAAAAUACGAUAACUUUAAAUAAUACAAUAAGCUUAUGGUAAAUGACUCCACAUAAGUACUUGUGAUGAAGAAAAAGCAAACUACAAUGUUUUUUAAAUUUUACAGAAAAAUGAAUGGGAAGACACAAAAGGGAAAUGAAUGACAGUGGAAAUAUUACCAUAAUUAGCAGAGGCUAGUGGCCAGUAGUACAGGUAUUAGCAUUUUCGAAACCAAUGUGAGAAAAAACAAUUACAAAAGUGGAAAAAACUAAAUGUGUAACAAAAUUUAAGAGAUUAGAAAGAGUGCAGUUUGAGAUUAAAGCUAAAGUGAGAGGCAUCUUGUCCCCACAUUUGUUUUGAUAUUUUCAUCUGGUGUUGUGGGGAGGAGACACUUGGGCCUACAAGGAUAAAAUGAAAUACUGUACAGGUAAUAUACAGUAAUACAAUAAGGCUUGAUGACCAUAAAUACUGCACAGGUAAUAUACAGUAAUACAAUAAGGCUUGAUGACCAUAAAUACUG